AGCGCAGGCGGGAAGACAAGUUGGAAGUGAAAUCCAUGGGCUCAACCCAUGAACUGCUUUCAAAACUGUUUUUCUUGAGUAGUGCAGAGGUAGGCGGAAUUCCCGGUGUAGCGGUGGAAUGCGUAGAUAUCGGGAGGAACACCAGUGGCGAAGGCGACCUACUGGGCACCAACUGACGCUGAGGCUCGAAAGUGUGGGUAGCAAACA
Molecule: ribosomal RNA, 207 nt
Filed under: uncultured bacterium
Lineage: Bacteria
Description: partial 16S ribosomal RNA
Rfam family: Bacterial small subunit ribosomal RNA
Source: RNAcentral